GGGGACGUAGCUCAGUUGGUAGAGCGCGCGCUUCGCAUCAAGCGCAAAGCAGGUUUGAUCUGCGUGAGGUCGCGAAUUCGAUCUUCGCCGUCUCCA
This is a non-coding RNA of Thelephora terrestris, 96 nucleotides long. Lineage: Eukaryota; Fungi; Basidiomycota; Agaricomycetes; Thelephorales; Thelephoraceae. The record is from the annotation of a GenBank genome assembly.